Molecule: ribosomal RNA, 370 nt
Filed under: uncultured eukaryote
Lineage: Eukaryota
Description: partial 18S ribosomal RNA
Rfam family: Eukaryotic small subunit ribosomal RNA
Source: RNAcentral
CAAUAGCGUAUAUUAAAGUUGUUGCAGUUAAAAAGCUCGUAGUUGGACCUUGGACCUGGACAGGCGGUCCGCCUCACGGCGAGUACUGUCUUGCUGGGUCUUUCCUCUUGGUGAUCUGUUGUUUCGGCAGCAGGGAACCAGGACCUUUACUUUGAAAAAAUUAGAGUGUUCAAAGCAGGCUCGACGCCGGAAUAUAUUAGCAUGGAAUAAUAAAAUAGGACGUGCGGUUCUAUUUUGUUGGUUUUUGGAAUCGCCGUAAUGAUUAAUAGGGACAGUCGGGGGCAUUAGUACUCACAUGCUAGAGGUGAAAUUCUUGGAUUUUGUGAGGACUAACUUCUGCGAAAGCAUUUGCCAAGGAUGUUUUCAUUAA